GCCUCGGUGGUGUAGUGGUAAAGCACGUGUACCCCGAGAGGAUGAAACGCGGCUUCGAUUUCCACCAGAGGCC
Molecule: non-coding RNA, 73 nt
Organism: Parelaphostrongylus tenuis
Lineage: Eukaryota; Metazoa; Nematoda; Chromadorea; Rhabditida; Metastrongylidae
Source: the annotation of a GenBank genome assembly